UACGUAGGUCCCGAGCGUUGUCCGGAUUUAUUGGGCGUAAAGGGAACGCAGGCGGUCUUUUAAGUCUGAUGUGAAAGCCUUCGGCUUAACCGGAGUAGUGCAUUGGAAACUGGGAGACUUGAGUGCAGAAGAGGAGAGUGGAACUCCAUGUGUAGCGGUGAAAUGCGUAGAUAUAUGGAAGAACACCAGUGGCGAAAGCGGCUCUCUGGUCUGUAACUGACGCUGAGGUUCGAAAGCGUGGUAGCAAACAGG
This 252-nucleotide ribosomal RNA is filed under the name uncultured bacterium. Its description in RNAcentral is "partial 16S ribosomal RNA". It matches the Rfam family "Bacterial small subunit ribosomal RNA", at positions 524 to 776 of the family's 1533-position model. The record is from RNAcentral.